RNAcentral lists this ribosomal RNA (600 nucleotides) under uncultured bacterium. RNAcentral's name for it is "bacterial SSU rRNA". It matches the Rfam family "Bacterial small subunit ribosomal RNA", at positions 27 to 605 of the family's 1533-position model. The record is from RNAcentral. RNAcentral also lists the same sequence under 1 other name.
GAUUGAACGCUGGCGGCAUGCCUAACACAUGCAAGUCGAACGGUAACAGGCCGUAUGGGAUCCCUUCGGGGUGACCUUGGCGCUGACGAGUGGCGGACGGGUGAGUAAUACUUAGGAAUCUGCCCAAUAGUGGGGGACAACUCGAGGAAACUCGAGCUAAUACCGCAUACGCCCUACGGGGGAAAGCGGGGGAUCUUCGGACCUCGCGCUAUGGAUGAGCCUAAGUCGGAUUAGCUUGUUGGUAGGGUAAAGGCCUACCAAGGCGACGAUCCUUAGCUGGUCUGAGAGGACGAUCAGCCACACUGGGACUGAGACACGGCCAGACUCCUACGGGAGGCAGCAGUGGGGAAUAUGGACAAUGGGCGCAAGCCUGAUCCAGCAAUGCCGCGUGUGUGAAGAAGGCCUGCGGGUUGUAAAGCACUUUCAGUAGAGAAGAAAAGCUUACGGUUAAUACCUGUGAGUCUUGACGUAACCUACAGAAGAAGCACCGGCUAACUCCGUGCCAGCAGCCGCGGUAAUACGGAGGGUGCAAGCGUUAAUCGGAAUUACUGGGCGUAAAGCGCGCGUAGGCGGUUUAGUCAGUCGGAUGUGAAAGCCCAG